GUCGGCGAGAGGGGGGAAUAACCCACCCACUUGCAUGCCCACUUGCCUCCUACAAUUAAGAAUAUGGAUGGCAUAGUAUCAAGUCACUUCUAUAAAUAGCCAUGACUACCUCACUCCAUUUCAUCCUCCAAGCUCCCCUUCAUACACCUCUCUACUACUUCCUCUUCUUACUUUCUUCCUCCUACUAGCUUCUUCCUCCUCCAUACUCACCUCCUUUUUAUCCUUCAUCCGUGGUCUUGGGCUCCUCACGAGUACCCACCUCGCUGCCACCAAACUGCCGCCACUCGACCACCGUCAUGCCGCCACCUCCUUCCUUGUUGUUGUUGACCGAGGAAUUUCGGGUUCGAAAUUAGGAGCUCCGUAAUUGUGUGCAAAGAUCGAGAUAGGUGAUGGAGAUCGGACAACGUGAACUAUAUGCUGCAUUGGGAAUGAUGGGCGGUGAUCACCUAGUAAACAUAGUGUUAGUGGUGUAGCUACUUUGAAAGUGUAUCAAACUAUUAUUAUUACUAUUAUUAUUAAUAAAAGAUAAGUACUGUUUUCCGCUGCAAAA
Molecule: long non-coding RNA, 550 nt
Organism: Chenopodium quinoa (quinoa)
Lineage: Eukaryota; Viridiplantae; Streptophyta; Magnoliopsida; Caryophyllales; Amaranthaceae
Exons: 3
Source: RefSeq, a predicted model, not a curated record